AAUCUCAGAUCAGCGCGGAAAUUGAGCUGUUGCCCACUAAUGACAAAAAGAAGUGGGCUCGCCCACCUAUCUCCAUGAACUUUGAGGUACCUUUUGCUCCAUCAGGACUGAAAGUGCGUUACCUGAAGGUCUUCGAGUCGAAGCUCAACUACAGCGAUCAUGAUGUCAUCAAAUGGGUGCGUUACAUCGGUCGCAGUGGCAUCUAUGAGACCCGCUGCUAACAGCAGCCCUCCUGUGAGGAGGGGGGAGAGACGCAGACGAAUAAAUGGGUGGGAUGAACAGAGGACGAAGAGAAUGGCGUUAUUCAUUGUCUCGCUCUCCCCUCCCUUCCUCAACUUUUUAUACGGGGCUCUGUUCACACUGAAAACAUCAACAAAGGGAAACCCAAAAAGAACAUCCAAAACCUCAUGAAUUAAAACAAAUGUGCCCUUCA
This is a long non-coding RNA of Sinocyclocheilus rhinocerous, 433 nucleotides long. RefSeq lists it as uncharacterized. Lineage: Eukaryota; Metazoa; Chordata; Actinopteri; Cypriniformes; Cyprinidae. The transcript is spliced from 2 exons. The record is from RefSeq and is a predicted model, not a curated record.